This 1524-nucleotide ribosomal RNA is filed under the name Klebsiella pneumoniae. RNAcentral describes it as "bacterial SSU rRNA". It matches the Rfam family "Bacterial small subunit ribosomal RNA". The record is from RNAcentral. Lineage: Bacteria; Pseudomonadati; Pseudomonadota; Gammaproteobacteria; Enterobacterales; Enterobacteriaceae.
AGAGUUUGAUCAUGGCUCAGAUUGAACGCUGGCGGCAGGCCUAACACAUGCAAGUCGAGCGGUAGCACAGAGAGCUUGCUCUCGGGUGACGAGCGGCGGACGGGUGAGUAAUGUCUGGGAAACUGCCUGAUGGAGGGGGAUAACUACUGGAAACGGUAGCUAAUACCGCAUAAUGUCGCAAGACCAAAGUGGGGGACCUUCGGGCCUCAUGCCAUCAGAUGUGCCCAGAUGGGAUUAGCUAGUAGGUGGGGUAACGGCUCACCUAGGCGACGAUCCCUAGCUGGUCUGAGAGGAUGACCAGCCACACUGGAACUGAGACACGGUCCAGACUCCUACGGGAGGCAGCAGUGGGGAAUAUUGCACAAUGGGCGCAAGCCUGAUGCAGCCAUGCCGCGUGUGUGAAGAAGGCCUUCGGGUUGUAAAGCACUUUCAGCGGGGAGGAAGGCGGUGAGGUUAAUAACCUCAUCGAUUGACGUUACCCGCAGAAGAAGCACCGGCUAACUCCGUGCCAGCAGCCGCGGUAAUACGGAGGGUGCAAGCGUUAAUCGGAAUUACUGGGCGUAAAGCGCACGCAGGCGGUCUGUCAAGUCGGAUGUGAAAUCCCCGGGCUCAACCUGGGAACUGCAUUCGAAACUGGCAGGCUAGAGUCUUGUAGAGGGGGGUAGAAUUCCAGGUGUAGCGGUGAAAUGCGUAGAGAUCUGGAGGAAUACCGGUGGCGAAGGCGGCCCCCUGGACAAAGACUGACGCUCAGGUGCGAAAGCGUGGGGAGCAAACAGGAUUAGAUACCCUGGUAGUCCACGCCGUAAACGAUGUCGAUUUGGAGGUUGUGCCCUUGAGGCGUGGCUUCCGGAGCUAACGCGUUAAAUCGACCGCCUGGGGAGUACGGCCGCAAGGUUAAAACUCAAAUGAAUUGACGGGGGCCCGCACAAGCGGUGGAGCAUGUGGUUUAAUUCGAUGCAACGCGAAGAACCUUACCUGGUCUUGACAUCCACAGAACUUCCAGAGAUUUGGUGCCUUCGGGAACUGUGAGACAGGUGCUGCAUGGCUGUCGUCAGCUCGUGUUGUGAAAUGUUGGGUUAAGUCCCGCAACGAGCGCAACCCUUAUCCUUUGUUGCCAGCGGUUAGGCCGGGAACUCAAAGGAGACUGCCAGUGAUAAACUGGAGGAAGGUGGGGAUGACGUCAAGUCAUCAUGGCCCUUACGACCAGGGCUACACACGUGCUACAAUGGCAUAUACAAAGAGAAGCGACCUCGCGAGAGCAAGCGGACCUCAUAAAGUAUGUCGUAGUCCGGAUUGGAGUCUGCAACUCGACUCCAUGAAGUCGGAAUCGCUAGUAAUCGUAGAUCAGAAUGCUACGGUGAAUACGUUCCCGGGCCUUGUACACACCGCCCGUCACACCAUGGGAGUGGGUUGCAAAAGAAGUAGGUAGCUUAACCUUCGGGAGGGCGCUUACCACUUUGUGAUUCAUGACUGGGGUGAAGUCGUAACAAGGUAACCGUAGGGGAACCUGCGGUUGGAUCACCU